Molecule: long non-coding RNA, 3899 nt
Organism: Equus caballus (horse)
Lineage: Eukaryota; Metazoa; Chordata; Mammalia; Perissodactyla; Equidae
Source: Ensembl
UGUUGGUUUUUUUCCACCUUUAUUGAGAUAUAAUUGACAUAUAACAAGUGUAAGUUUAAGGUGUAUAAAACGUAGAUUUGCUACUUAUAUAUUGCAAAAUGAUUGCCACCUAUAGCAUCAGCUACUUUAAUCACCUUACAUAAUUACCAUUUCUUUUCUAUAGUGAGAACAUUUAAGAUCUACUCUCUUACCAACUUUCAAGUAUAAACAUUAUUGUUAACUACAGUCACCCUGCUGUACAUUAGAUCCCAGAACUUACUCAUUUUCUACCUGUAAAUUGGUACCCUUCGACUGACAUCUCCCCCACCCCCCAGCCCCUGGUAACCAUCAUUCUUCUGUUUCUAUGAGAGCAGCUUUUUACAUUCCACAUGUGGAGACACCACACGGUAUUUCUCUUUCUCUGAUUUAUUAAACAUAGCAUAAUGCCCUCAGUCUCCACCUGUGUCGGUGCAAAUGGCAGGAUUUUCUCCUUUCUCAUGUGACGAUCCUUAGCACUUUCGCUAGUAGCUCUGAGCCCUGUGGUGUGUUUUGUUUCCUUUUCGUUUUGUUCGAUUAUUUGCAUCAGAGCCCUAAAUAGCAUAGAAUGGACGUUUUCUAGGGGGCAGCACCUUUGAUUCCCCCUAGACCCGCCGGGCGCCAGCGUCGCUGGUUUUCCUGGAAGGGUCUCACAGUCCCAGCACUGCCGCUCUCACCGAGCUCCUGUUCCCGUUGGCACCUUCGUUUGUCCGCAGAGCCGGCGGGAUUCCUGCCACAGGACACAUUUGCAUCCAGGUAGCGGCAUUUUCUCGGUAGCCCACGUUCAAUCCUCCAAACAGGCUGGUUCUCAGAGCUGGGUGUUUCUCGGGCCGGCACCGCUCUGUGCUCCUUGCCCGCAUCGCUGGGACUCAGCAAGGUGAGGUGCUCGCUGUCAGCGUUUCCUCGGGCGCGGCUGGGAUACGAGCAGAGACGGCGGGUCCUCAGUGGCCUCAGACCGCUAGUGGAAGGAGCGGGCGGCUCUGGGUCGGGCCGGAUGUGUGAUUCGGCGGCCGCACCUCUCCUUUCUUUCCUUGAUCCAGGUGAUUUUCGGUCUCAUCCCAGAUGUUUUCGCCAAGAUUUCUCCCUGGUGCCCCGCUACCUCCGCCAGGUCACAGGCGUUUCAGAGGCAGCAGCGCUCCUGGCAGCGCGAUCGCCGCACUAGCAGCCGGAGUGGGAGUUGUCGCGUCCCGCUCUCUGCGCAGGAUCUGCGCUGUCUGGGUUCCGGCACCGCUUCCGUCUCCCAGAGCGCCAGCUGACGAUUCCUGUUCAGAUAUUUGCAGGGAGUCGCCGUGCGCGUUUGCAAUUUCCAUAGUAGCGGUAGAUGGCGCUUUUUCUGUCACAACACAUUUGCACCCAGUCGGUGGGCUUUUUUCUCCGUGGCAGCAACUUUCAUUCCUCCAAGCCCGAUGUCUCUAGGGCGCAGCACUGCUCCUCAGAGCCGGCAGUUUCUCUUUGACAGCACAGCUCAUCGCUCCAAAAGGAGUAUUUGUCUUUGGGAACAGCACCACUGUUUGCUCCCCGCCGGCAUCGCCACGUGCCAGCGCCGCGGGUGUCUCGGGUUUCUCUUCAGCAGCGUCGCUCCAGCGCAGCGCCCCAGCGGCCAGUGGCUGCGCCGUUUUGUUCUCCGAGGCCACAUUUGGUUUCGUGGUCUGUGCACCGCUCAGCGCUCCCUGAGUUUUGUAGGGUUGGUUCUCUGCACGGUUUGCUUUUUGUUCCGUUUCAUUGCGUUUGCUUUCGUCUCGAUAUGUCUUUAUAUCGGAAUGACUUGUGUCGGUUCUCUAUGUUCUCUAAAUUUUUUUCGUAUUUCAUUGUCUACUGAUCUCCGUUUUGCAUUCGCUGCCUUCCCUCCGCCCACGAGCCCUGGAGAGCAUAAAUACCCGGAGUGCUGGUGCUGAAGCCUUUGCCUCCUUGAUCAGAGCAAACGCCUGUGUCCUGGUCCGAGGCCUAAGCGAUGGAGCAGCAUUUUCUCGCCGCCGUGAAGGAGGCUCGGGAUUCCGCAGAGGCGGUGCCAGAGCCUCAGCCUCCGUCCUCUCGGAGCUUCGAAGAUUCUGGGCCGUGGCCGCUCCCUCUACCCGGUACUGGAAGAGUGCUUAUGCCCUGGCGGUGAUUUCCAUUGGGAACUGCUUUCUAGUCCUAGCCGGCGGCUGUCCAGGGUUGGCCUGCAAAACGGACUCUUGCCCAGAUCCGAGGGCACAUUGGAACCAAGCCCAGCCCCGCCCACUCCGGACCUCUGGCCCGCCACACAGAAGACGUUAGAGUCAAUCGUAGGGGAGUUGGUUCCUGCAGAGGAACCCGACAGACUCACGUUCCAGUCGCUUCCCUGGGCCAGGCUGCAAGAUGCCGCCCACAGACAGCAGGACACAGAGACCUGUGACAGCGAGCCCCUUCGGAUCGUAGUCGACCUCCGGUCCCCGCUUGGUGGAGCCAACACCGGGUUUUCUCAGCAUGCUUGGCGUGGAUUCCUUGCGCGGUGUUCUCCAUGCCCUGGGGUUGCUGCCGGUGGGUCUUUGGCGCUGAGGAGCCCUGAGAUGCAGCGGGAGUCUUUUUGAAACUUUCCCCAGGAAAAGAUUCUCCGUUCCAAAACCUUCCCACUUACAGAAUUUAAAAAAUGCCUUAAGGGGGCUGGCCCCGUGACCGAGUGGUUAAGUUCGCGCGCUCCGCUGCAGGCGGCCCAGUGCUUCGUUGGUUGGAAUCCUGGGCGCGGACAUGGCACUGCUCAUCAAACCACGCUGAGGCAGCGUCCCACAUGCCACAACUAGAAGGACUCACAACGAAGAAUACACAACUAUGUACCGGGGGGCUUUGGGGAGAAAAAGGAAAAAAUAAAAUCUUUUAAAAAAAUGCAUUAAGAUGUGUCUUCGGUGUGCAUUGCAAAUUUUUCUCUUUCUCCUGCAGUUUCUCCUUGCAGUGUGCGGUCGCUUGUUACUUGCAGUUUCCUUGUUUGCCCAUGAGCCCAGGAAAUCAAAAACUAUCCGCUAUUUUCGCCCAGCCUGUAAUUCGUCGAUGGUAGUCCCGCUAGUUUUAUGUAGCCGGAUGUUUCUGGGUGGCAGCACGGCUAAGGUUGCUUCCCGUGGGCGCUUGCUGGAUCCCAGCACUGUGAGCUCUCUGGGACAAAGUUUUGUGAUUGCGUCUCUGAUUGGCGCUCCACACAUGGGGGCGGGGGAGGGGGGUUUUCUCCAUCUACCAGCAAGUGUUUCCCAAGGACUACCUAUCCUUUGGCCGAAAGGGAUGUAUCUUGGUCGGUCGCACAGCCGGCGUUGGCGCUUUCCCGCCGACCGCCCUGCCACUUGAGCCGUGUCAGUCGUCAGUCGUUUUCCGUGGCACCCGCGUCAGCUGCACGGAAACCACCGGUUUCUCAUCAUCUUCCUUAUUAGUGCGGGCAAUAGAAGUAAAAUCUACAGCUAAGAGAAGAUUCACAGAAAGGAAUUCCAAGGAGUAGAGAAAACUGUAGUGUCCACAUUCACAUCCCAUCCAGCAGGUAUCAAAGGUGUACCUCUAUGAAGCCAAAUGACGUAGAGUCCCAUAAAUAAAUUUUAGGAUGUUUAGCAAGCACCUGUUAAGAAGGUGAGGUUAACAUUUCACGCCUUGACUGGAUGCCUCCUGCUCAUCAGAAAUGGGUCCACCUACCUCAGAAUGGCCACCGGAGUGAGGCACCUCAAGAGAGAGUCCAGGAAAACCUGAUAUGUUUCCCAAGACCUUUGGAGAUCACUGACCCUGAUGCCUACUUUUUGCCCAGAGAAGUGUCAAGGCUAAAGGAUGGCCAAAACUGCCUCUGUCAACAGGGCAGACAGUGCAGCAAUGAAACCAAAGGAAAUCUCUACCCUUUGAUGGUGCAAGGAGAUUGCCUUUCACACUGUGAAAAAAUGUAAAGAAAAAUAAAGAUG